AAGAAAGGGUAGGAGAAUAUUUGGGAGAAUCGAGGAUCCGCCACGAAACUUCGUCCAGAACCGAGGAAAGGUCUUCCACUGAUUUCGUGAACAAACAUGGCCGAAAACGUGAAGGUCUGAGAGAUCUCCCAAGAUCGGAGGGGAGAAAAAAUAUUCUGACGACCACGUGUCGCUGGCGACCGAAGAAACACGUCUCAGUCGAAGAUGCACACGCAUCAAUUUUUAGGUGGAGACGCGCGUCAAACAUCGGGUGGAGCAACGCAGUCUUGUCCUUUUGGUGACACGCCGCCGACCCGACCCACUAACCUGCAUACGAACAAGCUUUGAUCAGUGGCCCAGCGAAGCAGUCAACUGGUCCAACACAAAUCGUGCGACCUGAAUUGGACCGCGACCCGCAACGGCUAAUUCCUGUCUGCGCAUGGUACGCGUGUGUGAGAAGCUCAACUAGCCUUCGCCUAAGUGCGUGGGAGCGCGUGUGUCUGUUUUCGCCCCGUCCGUCUUUUUUUUUUUUUUUUCUAAUUCCAAUUCUAACAAUGUUUUUAUGCAAACUAGGACUUAAUUGGAAAAAUCAGUA
Molecule: long non-coding RNA, 574 nt
Organism: Cucurbita moschata (crookneck pumpkin)
Lineage: Eukaryota; Viridiplantae; Streptophyta; Magnoliopsida; Cucurbitales; Cucurbitaceae
Exons: 3
Source: RefSeq, a predicted model, not a curated record